CUCUCAACUGAUACAUGUGAAUUACAUAUCUCCCUGAUAGGUGAAAACCAUUCACUAGGAGAGGAGAAACACAAUGGCCACCAAGACAGAGUUGAGUCCCACAGCAAGGGAGAGCAAGAACGCACAAGAUGUGCAAGUGGAUGAGACACUGAUCCCCAGGAAAGUUCCAAGUUUAUGUUCUGCUCGCUAUGGAAUAGCCCUCGUCUUACAUUUCUGCAAUUUCACAACGAUAGCACAAAAUGUCAUCAUGAACAUCACCAUGGUAGCCAUGGUCAACAGCACAAGCCCUCAAUCCCAGCUCAAUGACUCCUCUGAGGGGCUGCCUGUUGACUCAUUUGGUGGCCUAAGUAAAGCCCCAAAGAGUCUUCCUGCAAAGGCUCCUGUGUAUGACUGGUCUCCUCAAAUCCAAGGCAUCAUCUUUGGUGCUGUUGGCUAUGGUGGCAUACUGACAAUGGCUCCCAGUGGAUACCUGGCUGGAAGAGUAGGAACAAAGCGAGUGGUUGGCAUUUCUUUGUUUGCAACUUCAUUUCUCACUCUAUGCAUCCCUCCGGCCGCUGACUUUGGAAUAGUCUUGCUCAUUGUAACUCGAAUAGUCCAGGGCCUAAGCCAGUCCUCAAUACUUGGGGGUCAGUUUGCAAUUUGGGAAAAGUGGGGCCCUCCACAAGAACGAAGCAGACUCUGCAGCAUUGCUUUAUCAGGAAUGUUACUGGGAUGCUUUACUGCCAUCCUCAUAGGUGGCUUCAUUAGUGAAACCCUUGGGUGGCCCUUUGUCUUCUAUAUCUUUGGAGGUGUUGGCUGUGUCUGCUGCCUUCUCUGGUUUGUUGUGAUUUAUGAUGACCCCGUUUCCUAUCCAUGGAUAAGCACCUCAGAAAAAGAAUACAUCAUAUCCUCCUUGAAACAACAGGUACAUAUAAAGACACCAACACUUUUCUGAGACCUUGUAUCUGGAUUUUCUUGAGGCCUUAAAUCUGGAUUUUUAAGGGUGACUAAGUGUGUGAGCAUCUGUCGGAUUUACCGUUAUGACCAGUAAAUUUGUUUUCAGGUCAGGUCUUCUAAGCAGCCUCUUCCCAUCAAAGCUAUGCUCAGAUCUCUACCCAUUUGGUCCAUAUGUUUAGGCUGUUUCAGCCAUCAAUGGUUA
This 1138-nucleotide small RNA is filed under the name Pan troglodytes (chimpanzee). RNAcentral's name for it is "retained intron". The record is from RNAcentral. Lineage: Eukaryota; Metazoa; Chordata; Mammalia; Primates; Hominidae.